RNAcentral lists this ribosomal RNA (141 nucleotides) under Brycon sp. UFSCar-079. The record is from RNAcentral. Lineage: Eukaryota; Metazoa; Chordata; Actinopteri; Characiformes; Bryconidae.
UACGCCCGAUCUCGUCCGAUCUCGGAAGCUAAGCAGGGUUGGGCCUGAUUAGUACUUUGAAGGGAGACUGCCUGGGAAUACCAGGUGCUGUAAGCUUGCUUACGGCCAUACCAGCCUGGCUUACGGCCAUACCAGCCUGAG